UAUCCUUGUGAAUGUGGCGGCAGGUCUGUUGACGUAACCCGGACUUUCGCUGUAAUCCGGGGUGUGACAGUCCAGCUACUAUACAAUUAUGAGAAGGAUCGCCUUCGUACUCAUAGUCGCCUUCGAUGAUAGAACAUUCAAAUCAACAAUUUAUACCAUUAAACAUGAUUUAGAGCAUUUGAAUCUUCUAGAAAUUAAUUUCAUCAUUUUUCGAUAUCAUUUAACCUACGAUCAAAAGAUCUCAAGAAGUUUUAAAUACUCUAGGGAACCACAAUCAUCUUAACUGUAUAUCCUUUGAUCCAAUGGUCAAAAAUUUAUGAGUAUAAAAGGUUUAUACUUAUAAGAGUAUAGUAGCCUUAACACACACACACACACACAUAUAUAUAUAUAGCAUAUAAAACUUCUAGAAAUCAAAUUUUAUAAUUUUUCGAUAUCAUUACCUUACGAUCAAAAACUCACAAAAUUGACAAUUUUUAAUAGCCGGUAUGGGAGCCAGUUUAACGGUGUAAAAGAAUCAGAAUCGAUUGAAUUUUUAAUAGAAAAUUCUAUUCCCUACCUAAAUAAAGAUAAAUAACUCCAAUCUUAAAUUGAAUGACCCGAUCAUUAAUUUUUAGGAUAUCGUUUAAUUUUUAUCGUUCAUUUUAUACCCGCUUGAUGGACUUUAUAAUGAUUUCAAAAAAUUAAGAAAUUUAUUUUCUAAAAGUUUCAAAUACUCUAGAUCAUGUUUAACGGUGUGGAUAGUCAAUUUGGAAAUCCCAACAUCAAAAAUAACUUACGAGUACAUAGAGCUAGGUUGGUAUACUAUCGGUAGCACGAAGACCUCCGUGCUACCAAGUUGUUUUCAAUGAUGCGGCUUCCAAAUCGACGAUCGGCUUCGCUAGACUUGAUCUACAAUAUUAAAAGUAUUUGGAAACAAAAAUUUUUCGACAUCAUUUGACUAGUGAUCAAAAUGUCUCAAAAUUGACAAUUUUAAUAGUAGAUGUGAUGCGUUUGUGAAUUUAACGGUGUAAAAUAAUUCAAAUAUGAUGAAAUUUUUAUAGAAAUUUUUUUUCAGUAUUUAGAGAGAGAUCAGUACCUCUGAUCUUAAAUUCAAGUUUUUUAUCAUCAUUUUUUGUGAGAUUUUUAGUUUUAGCCAUUUAUUUUUAGACUAAACGUUUGAUAGGUAAAUGAUACCGAAAAAUUAUAAAAUUUAGUUUCUAAAUACUUUCAAAAGCGUAGAUCAAAGUCUAACGGAGCCAAUCGUCGAUUUGGAAGCCGCAUCAUUGAAAACAACUUGGUAGCACGGAAUACUAUUAAUAGCACCAAUGACUCGGUGCUAUUAAGUUUUUUGUCCUUUGAUUAAAAGAUGUGCGGUUAGGAUGAUGUGAGUCUCCUAGGAUUAAGUGGGUGGUUGGUUGCAUGAAUAGUAUAAUUGAACGGAUGAAAAUGAUAAAAGAGAUAAAUAUAACAGUAGAAAAUUUGAUAGCACCAAAUACUUCGUGCUAUCGAUAGUAUACUAGUAUCCCAGCCGGACUCUCUCUCUCUCUCUCUAUAUAUAUAUAUAUAUAUUAUAAGCUUUUUCUUUAUUAUUAUAUCAUUAUAUAUUAUUUUAAUGUAUUUAAUUUAUAAAUACAAACUAUAAUAAUAAUAGUAUAUGUAGUUUAGUAAAUAUUAGAUGUAAAUAAUAAUAUUUAGGUGAAAAUUUAACACGAGAAUUUAAAUUUGUGAAAUUUCAAAGAUGGAAACUAAACUCCCAACCUUACAAAACGAAACAGAUCUAUCGAUCUGAUAAAAAAACGUGGCGAGAUAUAUAUAUAACAACACAACUCAAUAAGUCUGAUUGAAAUAUUAAUUUUAUUUUCUACAAGCCAAAUAUUAGAAUACGUAAAAAAAAAAUUCACGAAAAAUUGUUUGCUCUAAAACUCUUUUCACAAUUAUAUAUGAAAUCAAACUGCCCCUAAAACUUCAAUAAUAAUAGGGAAAACUUUAAAUACCACCUCUGUAAUUUCGCAUUUUUUCACUUCAAUAUUUUGUUAUUUACGCUGUGAUUUUAUUUUUUUAUUUUUUAUUAUCCUCUCCAUUAAUUUUUUCGUUAAAUUAGUGAUAAAGAUAAAACUAAAUGGUACUAAAAUAAACAUUCGAUAAAUUACAGGUGGGCAUAUGAAGUUUUUUAUAUAUGAUUUAAUGAAAAAUAAACGGCGAGGCAGACGAAAAGUAAAAAAAUAAAAUCACAAAAUACUAAACUAAUCUACUUUAAAUUAUAAAAUAUUUAAGUAAAAAAGAUAUUUAAAGUUUAUCUAUUAUAAUACAUUACUCUUUCUCUCUG
RNAcentral lists this long non-coding RNA (2305 nucleotides) under Ananas comosus (pineapple). RNAcentral describes it as "long non-coding RNA (ACOM_LNC012447)". The record is from RNAcentral. Lineage: Eukaryota; Viridiplantae; Streptophyta; Magnoliopsida; Poales; Bromeliaceae.